This 497-nucleotide ribosomal RNA is filed under the name uncultured bacterium. RNAcentral's name for it is "partial 16S ribosomal RNA". It matches the Rfam family "Bacterial small subunit ribosomal RNA", at positions 28 to 507 of the family's 1533-position model. The record is from RNAcentral.
GAUGAACGCUGGCGGCGUGCCUAAUACAUGCAAGUCGAGCGAACAGACGAGGAGCUUGCUCCUCUGACGUUAGCGGCGGACGGGUGAGUAACACGUGGAUAACCUACCUAUAAGACUGGGAUAACUUCGGGAAACCGGAGCUAAUACCGGAUAAUAUAUUGAACCGCAUGGUUCAAUAGUGAAAGACGGUUUUGCUGUCACUUAUAGCUGGAUCCGCGCCGCAUUAGCUAGUUGGUAAGGUAACGGCUUACCAAGGCAACGAUGCGUAGCCGACCUGAGAGGGUGAUCGGCCACACUGGAACUGAGACACGGUCCAGAGUACUACGGGAGGCAGCAGUAGGGAAUCUUCCGCAAUGGGCGAAAGCAUGACGGAGCAACGCCGCGUGAGUGAUGAAGGUCUUCGGAUCGUAAAACUCUGUUAUUAGGGAAGAACAAAUGUGUAAGUAAAUAUGCACGUCUUGACGGUAACUAAUAAGAAAGCAACGGCUAACUACGUG